AAUUUUAAGGUCAAGCUACAAAGGGCGCAUGGUGAAUGCCUUGGCACUAGGAGCCGAAGAAGGACGCGAUAAGCUGCGAUAAGCCUUGGGUAGCCGCAAAUAGGCUGAGAUCCAGGGAUUUCCGAAUGAGGAAACUCACAUGGGUAACCCCAUGUAUCAUGCACUGAAUACAUAGGUGUAUGAGGGUAAACCCGGGGAACUGAAACAUCUAAGUACCCGGAGGAAGAGAAAGAAAAAUCGAUUUCCUAAGUAGCGGCGAGCGAACGGGAAAGAGCCCAAACCAGAAACUUGUUUCUGGGGUUGUGGAUAGAUCAUAAAAGAAGAGGUAUCUUAAUCGAAGAGGGCUGGAACGCCCUACCAUAGAAGGUAAUAGUCCUGUAGGUAAAAAGAGAAAACUUCGAGAUCUAAUCCAGAGUACCACGAGACACGUGAAACCUUGUGGGAAGCAGGGAGGACCACCUCCCAAGGCUAAAUACUACCUAGUGACCGAUAGUGAAGCAGUACCGUGAGGGAAAGGUGAAAAGAACCCCGGAAGGGGAGUGAAAUAGAACCUGAAACCGUGUGCCUACAACCGAUCGGAGCACGUUAAAGUGUGACGAUGUGCUUUU
RNAcentral lists this ribosomal RNA (608 nucleotides) under Clostridium botulinum. Its description in RNAcentral is "partial 23S ribosomal RNA". It matches the Rfam family "Bacterial large subunit ribosomal RNA", at positions 1 to 608 of the family's 2925-position model. The record is from RNAcentral. Lineage: Bacteria; Bacillati; Bacillota; Clostridia; Eubacteriales; Clostridiaceae.